GGGUUGAUUUGGACCCUAUUGAUCGCCAGGGUUGAGUUGGCUGAUCCGGCUGGCUAGGUGGGUGAUCCCUUCCUCACUCACUGCCCCACGUGCAUCCCUCUUGAAGCUGCCUGCUAGGCUGAAGAGGACAACCAUCCCGAAUAGAGGAGGACAGGUCUCUGGUCAAGGGUAUAUGAGUAGCUGCAUUCCCCUGCUAGAACUUGCAAACAGGCUCUCAAGAAUUGUAGUAUUUUGCUUGAAGUCAUAUAGCUAGUAAGUUGGUGAAUGAAUUUGAAUGAGAUCUAAUUC
Molecule: small nuclear RNA, 288 nt
Filed under: Piliocolobus tephrosceles (Ugandan red Colobus)
Lineage: Eukaryota; Metazoa; Chordata; Mammalia; Primates; Cercopithecidae
Description: 7SK RNA (ENSPTEG00000029432.1)
Rfam family: 7SK RNA
About the family: 7SK was discovered as an abundant small nuclear RNA in the mid-70s but a possible function has only recently been suggested. Two independent studies have found that 7SK RNA binds the CDK9/cyclin T complex (known as elongation factor P-TEFb). P-TEFb activates transcription by phosphorylating the C-terminal domain of RNA polymerase II.
Source: RNAcentral